GGCGGAUGUAGCCAAGUGGAUCAAGGCAGUGGUUUGUGAAUCCACCAUGCGCGAAGGGCGAAUUGCGGCCGCUAAAUU
RNAcentral lists this transfer RNA (78 nucleotides) under Pimpinella peregrina. RNAcentral describes it as "partial tRNA-His". The record is from RNAcentral. Lineage: Eukaryota; Viridiplantae; Streptophyta; Magnoliopsida; Apiales; Apiaceae.